RNAcentral lists this ribosomal RNA (2061 nucleotides) under Triticum aestivum (bread wheat). RNAcentral's name for it is "partial small subunit ribosomal RNA". Lineage: Eukaryota; Viridiplantae; Streptophyta; Magnoliopsida; Poales; Poaceae. The record is from RNAcentral.
UUCUCUCUGUUUUCGUCUCCGGGUCGGUCGGUCUCCCUCCUCUUCUUCGUCUCUCUCAUCGGAGUUGGAGUCGAGGCGUAGGUAGAGGAUCGCGACUUAAGGUUCUCUAGAGUGUGGAGAGAGAGAGAGGAGGGAGAGGGAGCAGGAAGAAGGAGCCGAGGGGCGGGAGAGGCAAAACCACCGGCCCACCACGUUCAACCAACGUCACCUCAACCGUGUCCCGCAACGGAAAAACCCGCGUUUUGUUCGUGUAUAUCCUCCUCCCGUCCUCCUCCUCCGAACACGAAGAGAGCGGAGCGGAAACGCCCCGGCGGCGAAAACUCGGAGGAGGAAGGGUAACCUCGCAUGUUUCGACCCGCCGUGGUAAAUUUCCUUCUCGUCGUCCUCCGCCUCCUCUAGCUCGGUUUGGGGUUUCUCUCCUUGUUCUCAUCACUCUCGCGUGGUGGUGGUAGUGAUCACGACGAUGUGACGUGAGGCAGGGUCGGUCGGUCUCCUCCUAGCGGAGCGCGGCGACAAGGAAGACGGGACGGGAAAGCGACGCCCCGAGGAAGGGAUGGCGCUCCUGGCUGCCUGCUAGGGUUCCAGCCUCUUUCACAUCGGACGUUCGAAGAGUUUAGACCUUCUUUCAACCCAUCGUUUUAGUUCGCAAGAAGGGAUCGAACCAGUUCACAAACACUCCGAGUUCGGCCUCGUAGUUUAAAACAGACCGUACGUCUACAGUUGUCUAGGAUUGGUGAUGCCGCAUAAAGGCGUAAGCAAGAAGCCGGUUGUACACCAAAGUAAAGUCUGCUCACGUUAAUGGUUGCCCGGCCCUCGGUACGGCCAGACGGACCUGUGAAGGUCACCCUAUUUACCAUUAGACCGUCACAACUUGUGAUGUGGAAGCUGCUAACAUAGGUGACGAAGUGGGUUGUACUAAGGACUAAGAUCGGUCUCGGAUUUCAUACCUCCAGGUUACCGACACCUCACCAGUAUGGGACUCAAUGUCUACGAAUUACUGCCGGAGGUAUUCAUACGUUCACUUGGCCCUUAGUACUUCAUAUAGUUCUAUCGUCGUUACAACGGUCUCUUCUGUCAUUCUCUACACCGGUACUCUACGGUCACCUACCGCCUUUUUGUUUUAUGUUCUGCUGCCUUCUGACUUCUUGUGUUACCACCUUCUUUCUAAUUUCUAUCUUUCCGACAUAGAGUCCUGUUUUACCACCUCAGCAGUAACACCCGAUUGUUAGCAAGACAAGGUCAUCUGUGGUCUCCAGGAAGACAAUGCUGUCGAAGACCCUUACGUCGGAGACUGUAGCUGGCACGUUACGAAUUACAUAACCUUCUUUUACGAGCUGAAGAGUUAGUUUAUCUUCGUUUAUAAAACUGUAGUGUCCGAGUCUUGUUGUAACUAGAAAAGGUAGCGUGUUCUUCAUUGUAGUUAUUAGAAGAUGCUUCGUACUCGGUUUAUGGACCUUAUUACUCGUUCUACGGAUCCAACGGAUAAAGUCACCUACUUUUCGAAACGUCAAUAGACGAGGGACCACAAUUAAACCGGGUUCAAGAAUCGUCGUCGAUGGACUUUCUCCUCGGUUCUCCUUUGACCACUCGGUAACGUUUCCACCGAGGAGUAAAAAGUCGUUAUCUACUUUCCAAACCUCUCGAGAAACGGGGCACAGACGCACCUCUUCGUUCUCUACGUUCUUUGUAGGUAGAAAAGGAUGGAUUAUAGACCUCUCGGUGUCACGCCACACACGGAAGUUUGUGCCGCAGUUUACACGAGAGAGACGUUCAGAUAUAUUAUAAUCAGUAACUUUUAUCCCUCCCAAAAGAGUUAACGUCAAAAGGAGUAGAACAACGUGUAUAACAAACCAAAAGAGGGGACCAGGUCGAAAACGAGGUCAGGUUCACUAGUAGAAUUGUUCAUCACAUCGUAUCUUUGAACUAUGUUUAUUAAUCGUCCUUUUACUUACGGGUAAACAGUGAACGUUCCAUUGGGAAGACACACAUUACGUUUCGAGAGUGAAGUAACAUUAGAGAGAGGUGACCUGCACGGCUCAUACUAGUUGUGUCGUGUUUAGA